Molecule: long non-coding RNA, 4086 nt
Organism: Homo sapiens (human)
Lineage: Eukaryota; Metazoa; Chordata; Mammalia; Primates; Hominidae
Gene: HAGLR
Product: HOXD antisense growth-associated long non-coding RNA
Exons: 3
Source: RefSeq, marked validated
GUUUGUGCCGCGCGCCCGCCAGACCGCCCAGGAGGCGGCGGCUAUUGUUCCCCGCAGGGGCCCGGGGCGCCCUGAAACGGGGUCCACGUCAGCCCGCUCCCGAGCGUGUCCUCAGGUCUAAGGACGGGUGGGGCUUCCUUUGUGUGUUCUCUGGAAGGGGCUGGGAUGGCGUCGUUGCUGCCCCAAGGGGUAACCGAGGGGGAUUGAGGGAAGAUGGUACCAGCUCCCUAGAGCUCAGCUCACCAGACCUACUCUUCCGCUCGACCCUUGCAGAGGAGGUGGGGACGGAUAUGGUAUUUGUAGGGCAGCGCUGUGAACAAUGGAGCCAUCAAAAAGGCCUUCUCCCAGCCUCCUCACCAACCACGGACAUUCCUGGCCCAACAAGACCUCCUGGCCAGGUUUUGAGCCCUGCUUCCCAGAUCUGGGGACCCUUCACCUGCCUCUACUACUGCAAAUGAUUGGAUAUUCGUCUGACUUGGCUCUUCCCUAAUGUGUGGAACUAAUUUUGUUCACUCUGUUUCAUGCUGGACCUGGCCUGAAAAUGGGCCCUUAUAUUGUCUUUGCACUUUCCAACUUGCCAAGUUUCUGAAAGAAGGACCAAAGUAAUGCCAAGAACUCCCAGAUGAAGAGGACCUUCCUUAGACCUAUAACAGAUUCACUACUUGACUUCAGAGGGAAGUUUCAGCUAAUUCUCAGGAAAAGGUCAAAACAGGCCUGUGACUGUCCCUUGAAUACUGAAGGUAUAAACAAGCUUCUGGCUCCUCCAGGUCAAGCAGAGGAACACUUUUAUUAGAAUGAAGGGUUACUUCUUUGUUAUUCAAACACACACCCACACACAUCCUCUGUAGUCUCCCUAAUGAAAAACCUCAACAGAUGGAGAGCCUGAGCUCCCAAGUCCGCAGGCUGAGAAGAUGCACUUCACUCAAGGGCCAGUGGGCUGGUACAGACUAGGGAAGAGAAAAGGGACAAAGGCUGCUAGUAUAGGUAAUCACUAUCUUUUAAUACUCCUAACACAUAGAAAUUCGAAAAAUCUUGUUCAGCAAUGUUAGCAGCCUGUGAGCCUCGGAAACUAAUUUGGCUGAUGUGUCUCUGAUAGGGAGCUUGGGGCUGCACCAAGGGGAAACAUUCUCCUCCUGUAUUCUCUCCUCUCUCUCGUUUGAAAGCCUGUACAAAGAAAUGGUACAAAUGGAUGGUUAACUUAAUGAUUCCAUCAGAGGCAGAUUUUUCUCUGUCAGGUCCCUGGAUAAGGUGGAGGUCUGAAAGCCAGGAGACAGAAUAUGUACUUAAUCGCCCUUUCUGACCUGCUUACCAGUGACCAGGACUACUCUCCAGGCCUUUCUUCUGCCACUUCCCCAUUCUUCCUGGCUAGUUCAGUUGGGUCUCAGCACUUCAACUCCUGGCUGGAUCCUGAGUUUUUCUUGGUUGCAGGGAAAGCUCUCACUGUCUGCAUCUCCUUCCCCACCCCCACCUCCCGUUUUGCAGCUGGCCAUUCUGGCUGCCUCACAGCUAUCCUGCCUUAAUUCAUAUUUGAUUGCCUGGACAGAACCACCUAGAAUGUCCAGACGACUGCCACCCCUCAGCCAUGGGCCUGAGAUCCUGCCCUGACCCCUUUCUUCAGACCCCAGGAGGACCCACAAUCUCCCUGAUCCCCACCUUCCCCAAAGUAGUCUCUAGGAAAAAAGCAGAGCUGGCUAAGGCCUGAGACAGAGCCAUUUCUUCCCCUUGGGCAAACGAGGUAGACCCUCCCAGAGACCAAUGCCGGAGAGGCCCGGAUCCGAGCUCCCUUUAUAUGGCCUCCCCCAUCACGGAUCCCGUGGGAAAACCUGACACACAAUGGCGCGGCUGCUCCGGGCACCCUCAACCCAGCGCCCUGCGGCAAGGCCUGGAGCAGCCUGGUGGUCUUGGUGCGCUCCCUUUGCCCUCCCCGCAACCCUCUGCGAGCACUCGUCCCAGGAGAGAGACCCUGGCUAGGGUGGAGGUUGCCUCCCGCAAAGGGCGCUGUUGCUGGGGCCUCCCCUCCCCCAUUCUCUUGUUUUUCUGCUUCUGAGACUCGGGAGGGAGGCGGCAGGCGCCUCCGCAGCCGAUAGAGCAGCUAUUGUGACCUUCCCUUGCAGAGCGGGAACCCAGCCGAGUGUGUACCGCCGGCGGUGGCGGGGGAGGAGGCGACUGUGUGUGCAAACCUCAGUCGGAGAGGGGGUGGCGCUGGGAAAUAAAGGUUUGCAACCUCAGGCAGUUGGGCCCUUCAGAGGGCGUUUGGUUGUGUUUAGACUCGGUUGCUUUCUAACACUAAUUGCAGGCUCAAAAGGAGCGGAAUUUAUUGCGAAGGCCAAGGCGGCUUGUUUAUAAUUUAUGAAGUUUUAAAUGGCUGUGCCGCGGGCCCCAACUUUCUCCUGGGCUGGCAGCCGCGCGGAAACGCGCCCUCCCCCGGCUCGCCGCCCACCCCCACCCACGCCCCUCAGAUGAGUCUCACGCCAAUGGCAGGAACAGAUCCGAGCUAUUAGAAGUCUCGGGAACCUCCAGAGAUGACAGAAGGUGGCAGAUUUGGUCCAAGCCCUCACCCCACUCGAGAGGAGGGCGUCGGGGAAAGCUGUGGCUGCCUGGAGAGGGAGCCCCUGAUCCCACACUUCCUUGGAGCCUGAGUGUGAGAGGAAGCUAAUGUCAGCCGGGCUAGACACCGUUUAAAGUCUAAUCCAUGAAACCCUAAGCCGCAAAUGACACUUGGGGCUUUGCAGACACCCGCAGACUCAGCAGAUACUCCUGCGGUAACACACUGUGCUGGAAAACGCCUGGAGCCAUGACACAUUACGUAUUUUUAUUAUUAUUUAUGGUAGGAAGAGGAGAUGAGGGAAAAUCGGGCUGAAUCUAAGCAGCCUGACAAUUCAGCUAGUUAAUAUUUAGCCAGUUAAGAAAGGUGGUUGUAAUCCCUGCAAGGCAGUGAGCUCUCCUUUGAUUUCUCUAAUAGCUUAAAAAAUAAUUUCUUACAAGACAAUUAGAAAUUCUGCCUAUGGAUGCAAAUUUCAUAGAAAACAAUGUUAAGCCUUGAAAGUGGGUAAAAUGUGCCUUCGAUUGAAGUCAUUUAUUCUGUUGAUACACUUCUACAACAUAUAUAUUUUAAACCUGCUCAGAUAAAGUGAAAUUUAGCAAAAGGAUAUCCCCUCCCACCCCCAAAUCUAACAUGCCAUUUUAAAAACAGCACAAAGGAACAAGGAAACUAAAUAUUAUUUUGAGCCAUCAUUACUUAGUGAAAUACAAACAUCCAAAUAGAAACGAUUGUUGUUCCACCAGAAGAUUAGAAGUUAAAUUAUUUCCACACAAUAGGAAUUUCACUUCGUGUCAUCGGGGAUGUAGUAGGAGUUGCAUUAUUUGUCAAACCAAAUAGAGAUGCGUGGGCUGACUUUGCUGAAAUACAAAAGAAUUGAACCUUAUCUGAAGGCGUUUUCUAAGUGGCCCCUCCCAUAGAAGCCGGGAAGUUGUCCACCCCUAGCAGAAGCCACAUUAAUAUUUACAAAAUGGUUAUAAAUCCUUGAAGACAUUUUUGCCCAUUUUGUAUAAGAAACAGGAGUAAACAAGGUGUUUAUACUUGUUAUGUUUCAUUAAUGAAAUAUUAUUACUUUACAUCUUGGGGAAUGUUUGUUUUCUUUAGAAAUGAACUAAUGAUCACUACAAAGGAAGAAUUCAUGACAGCAUUUCCUAGAGAAAAAGCUUAGGUACGCGUCUCCAAAUGAUGGUUUCUUUUUCUACACCUUAGCUUUUUCAUAGCUCAAUUCUUCUUACAACUUCUCUUGUGUUUUUUCUUUGAUUGUCAGUUUUCUUUCAAAGUUUAUUUUUUGUUACUUAAUGCAGAAAAGUGAGCUCUGGUCUCCCCAGUGUAAAAGUCGAUUGUGUCUAGAAAGAAGGCAGUAAAAACAGCAAAGCAGGCGCUGCUUUCAAAAAGCCCUGCCCAAAUCAUCCCGCCCAGAACCUUCUUAGGUUUGCAUCCUCAUUUCCCCCUCCCCUAAUUUCAAUAGCUGGAAAGUAAUCAAGUAUCCCGAGAACCAAUUUAUGCACUAGACUCCAAAUAAAUAAAAUAUUUUUUUCAAAGUGUCA